CCUACGGGAGGCAGCAGUGAGGAAUAUUGGUCAAUGGGCGUAAGCCUGAACCAGCCAAGUCGCGUGAGGGAUGAAGGUUCUCUGGAUCGUAAACCUCUUUUAUAAGGGAAUAAAGUGCGGGACGUGUCCCGUUUUGUAUGUACCUUAUGAAUAAGGAUCGGCUAACUCCGUGCCAGCAGCCGCGGUAAUACGGAGGAUCCGAGCGUUAUCCGGAUUUAUUGGGUUUAAGGGGUGCGUAGGCGGCCUUUUAAGUCAGCGGUGAAAGUCUGUGGCUCAACCAUAGAAUUGCCGUUGAAACUGGGAGGCUUGAGUAUGUUUGAGGCAGGCGGAAUGCGUGGUGUAGCGGUGAAAUGCUUAGAUAUCACGCAGAACCCCGAUUGCGAAGGCAGCCUGCCAAGCCAUGACUGACGCUGAUGCACGAAAGCGUGGGGAGCAAACAGGAUUAGAUACCCCUGUAGUC
RNAcentral lists this ribosomal RNA (460 nucleotides) under uncultured bacterium. RNAcentral's name for it is "partial 16S ribosomal RNA". It matches the Rfam family "Bacterial small subunit ribosomal RNA", at positions 338 to 795 of the family's 1533-position model. The record is from RNAcentral.